CUUCCCGCUGGCGGCGUGCCUCAUACAUGCAAGUCGAGCGAACAGACGAGGAGCUUGCUCCUCUGACGUUAGCGGCGGACGGGUGAGUAACACGUGGAUAACCUACCUAUAAGACUGGGAUAACUUCGGGAAACCGGAGCUAAUACCGGAUAAUAUAUUGAACCGCAUGGUUCAAUAGUGAAAGACGGUUUUGCUGUCACUUAUAGAUGGAUCCGCGCCGCAUUAGCUAGUUGGUAAGGUAACGGCUUACCAAGGCAACGAUGCGUAGCCGACCUGAGAGGGUGAUCGGCCACACUGGAACUGAGACACGGUCCAGACUCCUACGGGAGGCAGCAGUAGGGAAUCUUCCGCAAUGGGCGAAAGCUUGACGGAGCAACGCCGCGUGAGUGAUGAAGGUCUUCGGAUCGUAAAACUCUGUUAUUAGGGAAGAACAAAUGUGUAAGUAACUAUGCACGUCUUGACGGUACCUAAUCAGAAAGCCACGGCUAACUACGUG
This 496-nucleotide ribosomal RNA is filed under the name uncultured bacterium. RNAcentral describes it as "partial 16S ribosomal RNA". It matches the Rfam family "Bacterial small subunit ribosomal RNA", at positions 34 to 507 of the family's 1533-position model. The record is from RNAcentral.